This is a small nucleolar RNA of Equus asinus (donkey), 71 nucleotides long. Ensembl annotates it as small nucleolar RNA, C/D box 114-4. The record is from Ensembl. NCBI's taxonomy places the organism in Eukaryota, Metazoa, Chordata, Mammalia, Perissodactyla, Equidae.
UGGGCCACUGGCGACUACUGGCGGCAGUGAGUUGUGUAUGAUGAGCGCGUGUCUGGCACUCUGUGGUCCAC